UGGCUCCGGCGCGCGCGGCCCUGGGUGAAAAGAAGCGGCGAGCGCUCGCCCCGCCCCCUCCACCCGAGCGCGGCCCCGGCGCAGGCGGGGCGGGGUCGCCGGGUUGGGCCCAUGGAGGCGGCGCGGGCGCUGUUUGCUUGGGGUGCAAACAGCUAUGGGCAGCUCGGCCUUGGUCAUAAAGAGGAUGUGCUGUUGCCCCAGUCUCUGAAAGAUUUUUCUUGCAAACAUCAAAACAUUAAGAGCAUUGCUGGAGGAGGAGGACACUCUGCAGUUAUUACUGGUGCAGGAGAACUCUUUGUAUGUGGCCAAAACAAAGGAGGACAAUUAGGACUCAAUCACACUGAGGAUGUCCUGUGUUUUACUUCAUGCACUGCACUGUCUAAUGUUUGUGUGAUACAAGUUGCCUGUGGUUGGGAUUUUACAAUCAUACUUACAGGAAAUGGCCAAGUUUUAUCCUGUGGGUCUAACUCUUUUGGACAACUAGGAGUCCCUCAAACUUCAGGAGGAUGCUUGAUUCCACAAAAGAUUGAGUCCCUCACAGAGAAGGUGGUGAAUGUUGCUGCAGGACUCAGACAUGCUCUUGCUGCUACAGAAAGCGGCAUGGUGUUCCAGUGGGGAACAGGCAUGGCUUCUUGGGCAAACCGGGCAAGCCAAGGGAAAAUGAUCCCAUCCUUCUUGACAGCAAAAGAACCUUGUAAAGUAACAGGUCUGGAAGAUGUGCAGGUGAAAAGAAUCACUGCCAGCUCCUACCAUUCAGUGUCACUUACAGAUGAAGGAGAAUUGUGUGUUUGGGGUAGCAACAAACAUGGGCAGCUAGUGAGUAAAGAGCCUUUUCUCGUUGAGCCCCAGAAAAUAGAUGCUCAUUUUUUCUCGGGUGAAAAGAUUGGAGCGGUCUGGAGUGGAUGGACGCAUGUAGUGGCGCAAACAGAAACUGGCAAGGUCUUCACGUGGGGUAGAGCAGACUAUGGGCAACUCGGAAGGAGUGCAGUGGUUCACGAUGGACAAAGACAGGAGGUGCAGAGAUCAUCUGAAGAAAAUGUGGAGCAGUUGUCUAAUGUGCCGGUUUCAGUGCCUUGCCUCGCUGGAGCAUCUCAGGAUGGCCACAUGGAAGUUAUUGCAUGCUUUAACACACAUGGUACUGCCACAACAUUGAAUUUGGGAAGGUCAGUGAUGUAGAACCAUUUGGCAGUGAGAACUGUGGAGCUAGGAAUCAUCACAAACCUCACCACCUUUCAUACCAGCUAGACUUAAACAGCAGCUAUACCUCCUCAGAUUAAUUGUCCAUUAUGGAGUCUUCAACCUGGAGCUGGCCAUUGUUGUAACAGGGUCGUGGAUUAGAUGGACCACAGGACUGAUCCAGUAUAGAAGUUCCUAUUUUCCUCUCCUCACUGCAGUAUCAGAACAGCAAGACAGGACUGCUAAAAAUGACUAGAAUAACUUUGUCUCUAGUUGUCUUCACCCUAUUUUGAGAGCGUGAGUGUGCGUAUAAUAUAAUAUAUACACAUACACACUACAUAACAGCAUGAGGUGGAUUUUCUUUGCCAGCCUGAUGGACAGUUGCUGAUUCAUGAAAGAAAACAACCUUCCUGCCAAGAACUGGAAACUUGCCAUGUUGCUCAAUAAGAUGAGAUCCCACUCCCAUGGGCAGAGUGGGAUUUCAGAAUGAACCAUUACAUAGUCUUCUUACCGAAUGCAGGAAGAUUGAACGUAAGAAAUGAAACCACUGUUUUUCUGUGGUUUUUCCUCUUACUCUAAUUUAGAACUCCACGAGUAAGAAACAAUUUAAUGAAGGUGUUUUAGAUUACAUUUCCAUCUAAGCAAUUCCUUUUGCUAGUAAUCCAUUUGUUAUGAUAGUUCUCUGUAUAGAUAGAUAGAUAGAUAGAUAGAUAGAUAGAUUCUAUUUUACUUUUAUCACCAAAUUCUUUAUAUGUGGGGAGGAGGAACAAUUCAGAGUAGAUCCAUGGAUUGCAAGAGGGGUUUAGUUAACUAAAUAAAGGUUCAGCCUGAUGAGAGGAAUUUUAAUAAAGUGAAAGGUAUCAAUGAGGACAGGAGCUUAGAAGGAUUCAGUAAAGGGUUGGACAUUUUAUAAAUAACAAGAACAUCCAGAGUUGCAGUAUGAAGUAUGAAAAACAAACUUUAAGAACUUUGAAAGGGGGAUAAACAUUUAUGCUUAAAGGCAUCAGCCAACGCCUAACUAAUGGGGGUUAGGAAGAAACUUUCCCUGUGGGCAGAUUAUUGGGUAACUGCCUACUGUAGGGUUCCUUGCACCUGCCUCUGAAGCACUUGGUACUGGCCAGUUUCAGCAACAGGAUACUGGACAAGAUGGAGCACAGGUCUGAUCCAGUAUGGCAAUUCCUGUGUUCAUAUGAAAACUUUUUUUCACCUAAAUCCUGAAGUCUAUUUCAGGCAAAAUUCCCAUUGCCUGAAUAAGUACUGAGAGUUUGACGCUCUGCUCAGACAGAGCGGAGAAGUGGUAUGGCAGAGAGCUGGUUGCAACUCCCUGGUCAUACCUGACCCCCGCAUACGUAAAAGCGUUGGGAGAACGGGGCAUAGAGGAAUAUUGCUCUGCAAAACUCCACCCACACUCAUUCAUUGGAACAUCUCGGACGUGCCCCUUUCCUCCUCUUAUGUGGCGAGGCUGCAGAACCGUCUCCACUGGCUUUUAUUGGCCGAGAGAUUCCUGUGCAGGUGGAAUUUGUUCAGUGCAAUGUGGCCUUACCAAACUGGAGAAUCCAGCCCUGAGUAAAAACGUAGGCCCCAUUAUUCUGUUGACAUUAAUGAGGCUGAGUAGCAGCUUACUCCAUGAAAAGUUUAAAUUAAUUGAUGUUAAUCUGACCUGAAAUAAAGGGCCUUCUUGCAGAGUAAAGUACUGCUUAUCUGAAGUAAGAGUGGGAAGGUCUGGCCCUGGGUGGAGGACUCUUUUCUUUGUAGGAGAUGGAACGUUAAUUAUUAACGGUAGUAGUGGCAACUGGUAGAUAAGAGGAAUAAUUAACAGCAAAUUUCUUAUGUAAAAUUCCUCCUAUUUUGCAUGUCUGCAAAUCCAUCAGAUUAAAGGAUUUUACUGCAUAUAAAAUAUGUGGGCUGCCAAAUUCCUUAGUGAUAAAGAUGCCAGAGUGAGGGUAUAUAUAUAUAUAUAUCUCUUCUGCCUCAAGAUGAGGGUCAUCAUUGGGUCAGGGCAGUGAAUGAUGAAAUACAAUUAUAUUGUUCAUUAUAAUAAUGACUCAUGUAUUGUAGGUGCCUAUGGUAUGCACUCUGGAUGUAUUGCACAUUCUGGUGGAUGUUUAAUUUUGUUUUCUCUUGCCAUUGGCUGGCAUCACCUCUCUUAAUGGAUAAUCAGACUAGUUGUUGCAGAAAUUUCGCAUAAGAACUUCAGUGUCCAUUUUCGGAACUUUGAAUUUUGAUUCAGUAAAUUAGUGCAAUUACAGUAGUACAGAUAUCAGUGAUUGCUUAUCUCAAGCUACAGAGAUUUUACAAGAACCUUUCCUCAACCAAACCAAACGUAUUGCACUUUAAUAUGUAAACUUUUGCUAAAGGCCCAUUUGUUCUGUUGCUCACGCAGUGGUGAACAGUCGUUUCCCAGAGUACUUCCAUUGAAGUCAGUGGGACUGCUCAUGUGAAUAACUGCUAAUAAAAAUCAAAGGCUCUCAUUUUCUCGCCCAAAUGAUUUUAACAUAAUAGGCCAGAUAAUUAGCUGAUGUUAAGGGGUAGGGGUGUAAAUCCAUUGGCCCAAAGUGUUCCCCCUUAUGCAACUCUUCAACAUUGCUACAGUUUCAUUCUACUUAAUGCUUUCUUUUUAUUAUGGUCAGUGCUAAACAUAAUAUGAUAUGUUCUUCUUUUGGACUGUCUGCAUUGCCAUUCAUCUGAAAGGGAGUUAAAACAAAAUAGCACUAGUACUGUAAAUAACUGUAAUUUUGUUUGUAAUGGUAUGAGCGCAGCAAGAGAAAAAUAUGCCCCAGUGAGUAUUUUACUUCAAAUUAUCCCUGAUAAUGGGUAGUCAAAAUUUUUGAAUCUUCAAAAGCUUCAAAUUACUGGAAACAUGAUUUUGCGAUUAACAUGCAAGAAUAUAAAUCAAGCAAUCUGGUGUCUAUUCCUGCCUCUUUGAAGAGUAAUUUAAGACACUUAUAUUCUCCAUACCUCAGUUUCCCCAACUGUCAAAGAUAAAAGAUGAUGAUCUUUACAAGGAUGUUGUGAGACUAAAUUCAUUGAAGUCUGCAAAAGGUCUUUGGGAUCCUCAGAGGGAAGACAUUAUGGAAGUAUAAGGUAUUACCAUUAUUAUAACAGAAUACUGCCAUAGUAUUGGGCUCUUUUGGCUAAGAUCUAGUAUAGUGUCAAUUUUCUAUGACUAGGAGCUGUUCCCUCUCUUUACAGAGAAGUGGACUGUUUGGUUCCAUCUCUGACUACUGUGACCCCACUGUGUUACAGUACAGCACAAUGUAACCUCACACCCAGAAUAGUCUUCAUUGUUAGAUAUAUAUUGACACAGUGAGAUAAAUGUGCUGGAUCAGAUUCUGCCCUCAGAUAUGUGUAUGUGCAAGUAUCGCUGAAGUUAACAAGUAAGGUAGGUGUGUGUGUGUGUGUGUGUGUGUGUGUGUGUGCGCGCGUGCGCCUAUGGUCAGGUUUGACUACAGGGUACUUAAGUACCUAAUCUUAAAUACGACAGUAGGAUUAGGGUUGCAUUUUCCUUGGCGUUAAACUGUGGAGCCCUUCUGUAAUGACAAGUAAAUGAAAGGAGGAGAAACUGUGCACUGGCUGUAGUGGUUUAAGUUACAUAACUCAUUAGCUGGUCCAGAGAAGAGAUGCCAAUGCUUAUGGCUUUAUCAGCCUUCCUUUCACAGACACUGAGCAGAAAGGAUCAUUUGGGUUUACUGAGUGUAUAUAUGCAGGAGAUUUACACGAUUUAAAAAUAGGAAUGUUCUUAAUCUGCUGGGAACAUUUUAUUUUUUGUAUUUGAUGUAAAAUAAAUGUAUGAAAAUGACUUCAGUUUAAAUAGACUCCGUUGAUACAGUACUUUUCCACUGAAUUUACUAGGAGCUGUGAAUGUGUUAUAACAAACUGCACUGCAGGCUGCAGCAUCUGAUUGUCAUGCCAGGAGCAUCACUAGCGUAGAACUAAAUAGAGAUUGGUGAGGAAACUGGGUCAGGAAACAGGCCUACUGUACCUGCAGAGACUGCAGAGUGCAAUAGCAAAGAAACAGAGUGUCCACGGCAUGGCACUGUCUUACAAAACAUAGAUGAGUAGGCUGGUGAGAACGUGUUUUUGAUAUUAUGCAUGGCUCAGGCUAGAGAUGCUUCUGCUCCCUGCUUCCAGCCCCUCUUUUUUGCCAGGUGAUUUUUAGCCAUGGCCAUUUUGCCUCUCUCGCUUCUGUAGUCCAUAAUGCAUUUUCCUUUCUCCCAGAGCUCAGAAAUAUCCAUGCUGAUUUCCUAUAAAAUAGGAAGGACACUGUAGGUUAAUUUUUGUAUUAGGUAUGGUGUUAAAUAUUAUAAGAUCAGUUAACAUCCCUCUCCCCCAUCACAGCUUAUGAAAACUGUGUGAAAGGUAUGUGGCAAACUGGCCAAGAAUCUUGAGCACCUUGCUCAAAAUAAUAAAAAAGACUCUUCGAUACAGUUUGAUUAGCUUAAUAACAUUGGCUUAUUAGUUGUGUCAUGAAGAAUAAAAUUUAAAAAAAACAAACAGAGGCGCUACAGGGUCA
This is an RNA transcript of Dermochelys coriacea (leatherback sea turtle), 5689 nucleotides long. It is a transcript of the gene named secretion regulating guanine nucleotide exchange factor, with no coding region annotated. The record is from RefSeq and is a predicted model, not a curated record. The transcript has 11 exons. Lineage: Eukaryota; Metazoa; Chordata; Testudines; Dermochelyidae.